CAACGCAGCUGGAGAUGAUGUGUCCUUCUGCUCAAGAAAUUCAAGAAUUCCCCAGACAAAGGGAGAAAUGAAGUGAUCCAAGAUUAUUGACAAAGGAAAGGAUGGCUGGGCUGAGAUGUGGACUUCUGAAGAGGUGUGCUUGGCAGCUGGUGGCUGUCCAUGUUCCCCAGAUGGAGAGGAGCUCUUCCUCAGCAAGGGCUGCUGUACCAGAGGACCACAAACUGGGUGCCUUAAAACAACAGAAGUUGGUUCUCUCACAGUUCUGGAGGCCGGAAGUCUGAAAUCAAGGUGUGGGCAGGGCCGCACUCCCUCUGAAGCCUCCAAGUGAUGAUCCCUCCGUGCCUCUUCCUAGCUGCUGGUGGUUAUGGGGCAAUCCUCGGCAAUUCUUGGCUGGGACAGCAUAACUCCACCUCUGCCUCCGUUUUCUCUCCCUGUACGUGUGUCUGUGUCUGUUUUCUUGUAAGGAUACCAGUCAUUGGAUUCGGGCCCACCCUAAUCCAGUAUGACCUCAUUUUGAUUUAACUAAAUACAUCUGCAAAAAAAUGCUCUUUCCAAGCAAGGUCACAUUCACAGGUGCCUCAGGCUUUAGGACAUAAACAUAUCUUUUUGGAGGACAUAAUUCAACCUAUAACACAAGGCCUAAUCUGUUCCCAAGGCAAGAGGUUGGGAUAGAGCUGGGGUCUGGCCUUUAAGAUCUCCUAAAAGCCCUCCAUGUUGCUGAGCAGCCUCCCUCCACCUUUGAGACAUCCCAAUCUAGCCUAGUUUUGCAAUUUAUCAAUGUGUGUGGGGGUUUUGUUUGUUUGUUUUUUAUAAAGCAGGUGUAAGGAGUUUAUUCCACCCCUCAGUCCAUAGCAUGAUCACAUCAUCAAUGAUGGAGGGAUUCUCUCUUAUUUUUUCCCUUUCUGCCCUGAAUCAGUCAAGAUAGUUAUGCUGGAGGAACAAACAACCCUAAAAUCUCCAUGGCUUAAAACAGCAAAGGACGAUAUUUUGUUCAUGCUGCUCACAUCGUGGGUCAGCAGUCCACUGUAUCACUCAGGCACCUGAGUGGGGCCAGUUCCCGUACUAGAGUGAGGAGAACUCGGGGAGUUCCAAUGUCUGCAGCUAGAUACUUGGCCCAGGGAGACUUGGACCAUAUCUUAGCCAGGACCAGUCCCACAGCUACGUCCAAGCACGAGGGGGCAGAAAUGCCAGUGAACCAUGGGCCCAGAGGUGAGAGAAUGGGAAAGAUUUGGCCAAAUUCACUGAUGUCUGCUACGAACACCGUGUCUUUUAUUUUGUGGCUUGUCCGUCACCUUGUCCAUGGGUUUCCAUUAAGAAUUUCCAUCUUGGGGCCGGCCAGGUGGCGCAGCGGUUAAGUUCGCACGUUCUGCUUCGGAGGCCUAGGGUUUGCCGGUUUGGAUUUCGGGUGCGGACCUAUGCACUGCUUGUCAAGCCAUGCUGUGGUAGGCGUCCCACAUAUGAAGUAGAGGAAGAUGGGCACAGAUGUGAGCUCAGGGCCAGUCUUCCUCAGCAAAAAGAGGAGGAUUGGCAGCAGAUGCUAGCUCAGGGCUGAUCUUCCUCAAAAAAAAAAAAAAUUUCCAUCUUUAGGAGGCCCUCACUCUCCUGUUUCCUUCCCACUUGCCUUUCUAAUAUUCCCUCCCCGACUCCACUGUCUGAGGGCCUCCUCUUUACAAACUAAACUAAAGCCAAGUUGUUUGUGGCAGCGAUGGGUGGCCCCUCUUAGAUAAUGUAUUCACAUUGCUUCUCUUGAUUGAAGGUUCUUGAGUCAUCAGUCAGUAGACAAGUAUUGAGCACCUGGGUGGGCAGGUGCUGGGACUGUAUCAGGGAGCAUGAGACAGGAUGUCUGCUCUCAUGGAGCUGGGAUUCUAGCCCAUUACAUCCAGGAUGUCUUGGGCUACAAACAACAAGUCCCUCUCAAACACUGAAACCACAACCACGUUAUCUCAUAUAACAGGAAGACCAGAGGCUGGAGAGUUUCCAGGUGCAUUUCGACUGGGGCCCCAGCUCCAUUUCCUUUGGCUCUGCCUUUUGCCAGGAGGCUUUUUCCUUAUAUUAUUAUAUUAUAUGUAAUAUAUAUUAUAUUAUUGUAUUAUAUUAGCUUCAUUGUCAAAAAAUGGCUUCCAGCAGCAACUCUGAUUCAGUGGGAAAGAAAGAGACCUUUCCAACCUUUCUUUUCACUCUCCCUGGGACAAUCCCUGCACGCACAGCAGUCACCCGGGGAAUGCCAUGUAUGGCUGGCUCCCGUCUGGGUCUCUGACACUCAUUGCCAAGGAUGAUUCACUGUGGCUGCCUUGGAGCCUGGAGGGUGGGGGUCACCUUCCCCCAGGGUACAGGCUGGAAUUGGGAGUAUGUUAGAUGCUAGGGCUACCAUAACCAGGCACCAAGGACUGGGUGGCAUAAACAGCAACUUUAUUUUCUCACAAUUCUGGAGGCUAGAAAUCUGAGAGCAAGGUGUCAGCAAGGUUGAUUUCUCCCGAGGCCUCUCUGCUUGGCUUGAGAUGGCAUCUUCUCCCUCUGUCUUCACAUGGUCUUGCCUCGUGUCUGAUUCCUAAUCUCCUUUUAUAAAGACACCAGGCAUAUUGGAUUAGAGCCCCCCCUAACGACCUCAUUUUAACUUAAUUCUCUCUUUAAAGACCCUAUCUGCAAAUACAGUCACCUUCUGAGGUACCAGGGGUUAGGAC
Molecule: long non-coding RNA, 2681 nt
Organism: Equus asinus (donkey)
Lineage: Eukaryota; Metazoa; Chordata; Mammalia; Perissodactyla; Equidae
Source: Ensembl